GAUGAACGCUGGCGGCGUGCCUAAUACAUGCAAGUAGAACGCUGAAGGAGGAGCUUGCUCUUCUGGAUGAGUUGCGAACGGGUGAGUAACGCGUAGGUAACCUGCCUGGUAGCGGGGGAUAACUUUUGGAAACGAUAGCUAAUACCGCAUGACAACAGUUAUUGCAUGAUAACUGUUUAAAAGUGGCACCUGCUCCACUACCAGAUGGACCUGCGUUGUAUUAGCUAGUUGGUGAGGUAACGGCUCACCAAGGCGACGAUACAUAGCCGACCUGAGAGGGGGAUCGGCCACACUGGGAAUGAGACACGGCCCAGACGCCUACGGGAGGCAGCAGUAGGGAAUCGUCGGCAAUGGACGGAAGACUGACCGAGCAACGCCGCGUGAGGGAAGAAGGUUUUCGGAUCGUAAAGCUCGGUUGUAAGAGAAGAACGAGUGUGAGAGUGGAAAGUUCACACUGUGACGGUAACUUACCAGAAAGGGACGGCUAACUACGUG
This 495-nucleotide ribosomal RNA is filed under the name uncultured bacterium. Its description in RNAcentral is "partial 16S ribosomal RNA". It matches the Rfam family "Bacterial small subunit ribosomal RNA", at positions 28 to 507 of the family's 1533-position model. The record is from RNAcentral.